RNAcentral lists this ribosomal RNA (475 nucleotides) under uncultured bacterium. RNAcentral's name for it is "bacterial SSU rRNA". It matches the Rfam family "Bacterial small subunit ribosomal RNA", at positions 26 to 518 of the family's 1533-position model. The record is from RNAcentral.
GGCGUCAGGACGAACGCUGGCGGCGUGCUUAACACAUGCAAGUUGAACGGUAUGGCAUGGAAGCUUGCUGAAGUGUCAUAUAGUAGCGGACGGGUGAGUAAUGCAUGAGAAGCUGCCAUUGGAGGGGGACAACAGUUGGAAACGGCUGCUAAUACCCCGUAUGCCGGAAGGUGAAAGGGAGCGAUCCGCCCGAUGAGGUGCUCAUGUCCUAUCAGCUGGUUGGUGGGGUAACGGCCUACCAAGGCGACGACGGGUAGCCGGCCUGAGAGGGUGAACGGCCACACUGGAACUGAGAUACGGUCCAGACUCCUACGGGAGGCAGCAGUGGGGAAUAUUGGGCAAUGGGGGGCAACCCUGACCCAGCGACGCCGCGUGGGGGAAGACGGCCUUCGGGUUGUAAACCUCUUUUGUACGGGAAGAAGGAAGUGACGGUACUGUACGAAUAAGUCCCGGCUAACUACGUGCCAGCAGCUGC